Molecule: ribosomal RNA, 2818 nt
Filed under: Pseudomonas syringae pv. actinidiae ICMP 19497
Lineage: Bacteria; Pseudomonadati; Pseudomonadota; Gammaproteobacteria; Pseudomonadales; Pseudomonadaceae
Description: bacterial LSU rRNA
Rfam family: Bacterial large subunit ribosomal RNA
Source: RNAcentral
CAGACUGUGAUCCGGAGAUGUCUGAAUGGGGGAACCCAGCCAUCAUAAGAUGGUUAUCUUACACUGAAUACAUAGGUGUAAGAGGCGAACCAGGGGAACUGAAACAUCUAAGUACCCUGAGGAAAAGAAAUCAACCGAGAUUCCCUUAGUAGUGGCGAGCGAACGGGGACCAGCCCUUAAGUUGUAUUGAGAUUAGCGGAACGCUCUGGAAAGUGCGGCCAUAGUGGGUGAUAGCCCUGUACGCGAAAAUCCCUUUGCAAUGAAAUCGAGUAGGACGGGGCACGAGAAACCUUGUCUGAAUAUGGGGGGACCAUCCUCCAAGGCUAAAUACUACUGACUGACCGAUAGUGAACCAGUACCGUGAGGGAAAGGCGAAAAGAACCGCGGAGAGCGGAGUGAAAUAGAUCCUGAAACCGUAUGCGUACAAGCAGUGGGAGCCCACUUUGUUGGGUGACUGCGUACCUUUUGUAUAAUGGGUCAGCGACUUAUUUUCAGUGGCGAGCUUAACCGAAUAGGGGAGGCGUAGCGAAAGCGAGUCUUAAUAGGGCGUCUAGUCGCUGGGAAUAGACCCGAAACCGGGCGAUCUAUCCAUGGGCAGGUUGAAGGUUGGGUAACACUAACUGGAGGACCGAACCGACUACCGUUGAAAAGUUAGCGGAUGACCUGUGGAUCGGAGUGAAAGGCUAAUCAAGCUCGGAGAUAGCUGGUUCUCCUCGAAAGCUAUUUAGGUAGCGCCUCAUGUAUCACUGUAGGGGGUAGAGCACUGUUUCGGCUAGGGGGUCAUCCCGACUUACCAAACCGAUGCAAACUCCGAAUACCUACAAGUGCCGAGCAUGGGAGACACACGGCGGGUGCUAACGUCCGUCGUGAAAAGGGAAACAACCCAGACCGUCAGCUAAGGUCCCAAAGUCAUGGUUAAGUGGGAAACGAUGUGGGAAGGCUUAGACAGCUAGGAGGUUGGCUUAGAAGCAGCCACCCUUUAAAGAAAGCGUAAUAGCUCACUAGUCGAGUCGGCCUGCGCGGAAGAUGUAACGGGGCUCAAACCAUGCACCGAAGCUACGGGUAUCAUCUUAUGAUGAUGCGGUAGAGGAGCGUUCUGUAAGCCUGUGAAGGUGAGUUGAGAAGCUUGCUGGAGGUAUCAGAAGUGCGAAUGCUGACAUGAGUAACGACAAUGGGUGUGAAAAACACCCACGCCGAAAGACCAAGGUUUCCUGCGCAACGUUAAUCGACGCAGGGUUAGUCGGUCCCUAAGGCGAGGCUGAAAAGCGUAGUCGAUGGAAAACAGGUUAAUAUUCCUGUACUUCUGGUUAUUGCGAUGGAGGGACGGAGAAGGCUAGGCCAGCCUGGCGUUGGUAGUCCAGGUUUAAGGUGGUAGGCUGAGAUCUUAGGUAAAUCCGGGAUCUUAAGGCCGAGAGCUGAUGACGAGUGUUCUUUUAGAACAUGAAGUGGUUGAUGCCAUGCUUCCAAGAAAAGCUUCUAAGCUUCAGGUAACCAGGAACCGUACCCCAAACCGACACAGGUGGUUGGGUAGAGAAUACCAAGGCGCUUGAGAGAACUCGGGUGAAGGAACUAGGCAAAAUGGCACCGUAACUUCGGGAGAAGGUGCGCCGGUGAGGGUGAAGCAUUUACUGCGUAAGCCCACGCCGGUCGAAGAUACCAGGCCGCUGCGACUGUUUAUUAAAAACACAGCACUCUGCAAACACGAAAGUGGACGUAUAGGGUGUGACGCCUGCCCGGUGCCGGAAGGUUAAUUGAUGGGGUUAGCGCAAGCGAAGCUCUUGAUCGAAGCCCCGGUAAACGGCGGCCGUAACUAUAACGGUCCUAAGGUAGCGAAAUUCCUUGUCGGGUAAGUUCCGACCUGCACGAAUGGCGUAACGAUGGCGGCGCUGUCUCCACCCGAGACUCAGUGAAAUUGAAAUCGCUGUGAAGAUGCAGUGUAUCCGCGGCUAGACGGAAAGACCCCGUGAACCUUUACUAUAGCUUUGCACUGGACUUUGAAUUUGCUUGUGUAGGAUAGGUGGGAGGCUUUGAAGCGUGGACGCCAGUCUGCGUGGAGCCAACCUUGAAAUACCACCCUGGCAACUUUGAGGUUCUAACUCAGGUCCGUUAUCCGGAUCGAGGACAGUGUAUGGUGGGUAGUUUGACUGGGGCGGUCUCCUCCUAAAGAGUAACGGAGGAGUACGAAGGUGCGCUCAGACCGGUCGGAAAUCGGUCGUAGAGUAUAAAGGCAAAAGCGCGCUUGACUGCGAGACAGACACGUCGAGCAGGUACGAAAGUAGGUCUUAGUGAUCCGGUGGUUCUGUAUGGAAGGGCCAUCGCUCAACGGAUAAAAGGUACUCCGGGGAUAACAGGCUGAUACCGCCCAAGAGUUCAUAUCGACGGCGGUGUUUGGCACCUCGAUGUCGGCUCAUCACAUCCUGGGGCUGAAGCCGGUCCCAAGGGUAUGGCUGUUCGCCAUUUAAAGUGGUACGCGAGCUGGGUUUAGAACGUCGUGAGACAGUUCGGUCCCUAUCUGCCGUGGACGUUUGAGAUUUGAGAGGGGCUGCUCCUAGUACGAGAGGACCGGAGUGGACGAACCUCUGGUGUUCCGGUUGUCACGCCAGUGGCAUUGCCGGGUAGCUAUGUUCGGAAAAGAUAACCGCUGAAAGCAUCUAAGCGGGAAACUUGCCUCAAGAUGAGAUCUCACUGGAACCUUGAGUUCCCUGAAGGGCCGUCGAAGACUACGACGUUGAUAGGUUGGGUGUGUAAGCGCUGUGAGGCGUUGAGCUAACCAAUACUAAUUGCCCGUGAGGCUUGACCAUAUAACACCCAAGCAAUU